UAGGGAAUCUUCGGCAAUGGGGGGAACCCUGACCGAGCAACGCCGCGUGAGUGAAGAAGGUUUUCGGAUCGUAAAGCUCUGUUGUUAAGGAAGAACGAGUGUGAGAAUGGAAAGUUCAUGCUGUGACGGUACUUAACCAGAAAGGGACGGCUAACUACGUGCCAGCAGCCGCGGUAAUACGUAGGUCCCGAGCGUUGUCCGGAUUUAUUGGGCGUAAAGCGAGCGCAGGCGGUCAAUUAAGUCUGAUGUGAAAGCCCCCGGCUCAACCGGGGAGGGUCAUUGGAAACUGGUUGACUUGAGUGCAGAAGAGGAGAGUGGAAUUCCAUGUGUAGCGGUGAAAUGCGUAGAUAUAUGGAGGAACACCAGUAGCGAAGGCGACUCUCUGGUCUGUAACUGACGCGGAGGCUCGAAAGCGUGGGUAGCAAACAGG
Molecule: ribosomal RNA, 430 nt
Filed under: Bacteroidota bacterium
Lineage: Bacteria; Pseudomonadati; Bacteroidota
Description: Bacteroidetes bacterium partial 16S ribosomal RNA
Rfam family: Bacterial small subunit ribosomal RNA
Source: RNAcentral